ACUCAAAGGAAUUGACGGGGGCCCGCACAAGCAGUGGAGUAUGUGGUUUAAUUCGAAGCAACGCGAAGAACCUUACCAGGGCUUGACAUCCCCAGAAGUCUCUCGAGAGAGAGAUGUGCCUUCGGGAACUGGGUGACAGGUGGUGCAUGGUUGUCGUCAGCUCGUGUCGUGAGAUGUUGGGUUAAGUCCCGCAACGAGCGCAACCCUUAUUGCUAGUUGCUAACAUUUAGUUGAGUACUCUAGCGAGACUGCCGUUGACAAAACGGAGGAAGGUGGGGACGAGGUCAAAUCAUCAUGCCCCUUAUGUCCUGGGCUACACACGUACUACAAUGGUUGGUCACAGAGGGAAGCGAAACCGCGAGGUGGAGCAAAUCCCCAAAACCAGCCCCAGUUCGGAUUGUAGGCUGAAACUCGCCUGCAUGAAGUUGGAAUUGCUAGUAAUCGCGAAUCAGCAUGUCGCGGUGAAUACGUUCCCGGGCCUUGCACACACCGCCCGU
This 497-nucleotide ribosomal RNA is filed under the name uncultured bacterium. Its description in RNAcentral is "bacterial SSU rRNA". It matches the Rfam family "Bacterial small subunit ribosomal RNA", at positions 899 to 1397 of the family's 1533-position model. The record is from RNAcentral.